Molecule: ribosomal RNA, 464 nt
Filed under: uncultured bacterium
Lineage: Bacteria
Description: partial 16S ribosomal RNA
Rfam family: Bacterial small subunit ribosomal RNA
Source: RNAcentral
GACGAACGCUGGCGGCGUGCUUAACACAUGCAAGUCGAGCGAGGCCCCUCCUUCGGGAGGGUGUCCUAGCGGCGAACGGGUGAGUAACACGUGGGCAACCUGCCCUCAGCUCUGGGAUAACUCCGGGAAACCGGGGCUAAUACCGGAUACGACCUCCACGGGCAUCUGCGGAGGUGGAAAGUUUUUCGGCUGAGGAUGGGCCCGCGGCCUAUCAGCUAGUUGGUGGGGUAGUGGCCCACCAAGGCGACGACGGGUAGCCGGCCUGAGAGGGCGACCGGCCACACUGGGACUGAGACACGGCCCAGACUCCUACGGGAGGCAGCAGUGGGGAAUAUUGCGCAAUGGGCGAAAGCCGGACGCAGCGACGCCGCGUGAGGGACGAAGGCCUUCGGGUUGUAAACCUCUUUCAGCAGGGACGAAGCGAAAGUGACGGUACCUGCAGAAGAAGCACCGGCCAACUACGU